This 894-nucleotide ribosomal RNA is filed under the name bacterium T01. RNAcentral's name for it is "partial 16S ribosomal RNA". It matches the Rfam family "Bacterial small subunit ribosomal RNA", at positions 55 to 962 of the family's 1533-position model. The record is from RNAcentral.
ANGCAGUCGNCGANNACUGGAGCUUGCUCCAGGGNUUAGUGGCGAACGGGUGAGUAACACGUGAGUAACCUGCCCUUGACUCUGGGAUAAGCGCUAGAAAUGGCGUCUAAUACCGGAUACGAGCUUCAGCCGCAUGGCUAGGAGUUGGAAAGAAUUUUGGUCAAGGAUGGACUCGCGGCCUAUCAGCUAGUUGGUGAGGUAAUGGCUCACCAAGGCGACGACGGGUAGCCGGCCUGAGAGGGUGACCGGCCACACUGGGACUGAGACACGGCCCAGACUCCUACGGGAGGCAGCAGUGGGGAAUAUUGCACAAUGGGCGAAAGCCUGAUGCAGCAACGCCGCGUGAGGGAUGACGGCCUUCGGGUUGUAAACCUCUUUUAGUAGGGAAGAAGCGAAAGUGACGGUACCUGCAGAAAAAGCACCGGCUAACUACGUGCCAGCAGCCGCGGUAAUACGUAGGGUGCAAGCGUUGUCCGGAAUUAUUGGGCGUAAAGAGCUCGUAGGCGGUUUGUCGCGUCUGCUGUGAAAUCUGGGGGCUCAACCCCCAGCCUGCAGUGGGUACGGGCAGACUAGAGUGCGGUAGGGGAGAUUGGAAUUCCUGGUGUAGCGGUGGAAUGCGCAGAUAUCAGGAGGAACACCGAUGGCGAAGGCAGAUCUCUGGGCCGUAACUGACGCUGAGGAGCGAAAGCAUGGGGAGCGAACAGGAUUAGAUACCCUGGUAGUCCAUGCCGUANACGUUGGGAACUAGAUGUGGGGGCCAUUCCACGGUCUCCGUGUCGCAGCUAACGCANUANNNNCCNCGCCUGGGGAGUACGGCCGCNNGGCUAANNCUCAGNGGANNUGACGGNNGCCCNCNCNNNAUNNCGGAGCAAGCGGNNNAAUUCGAUGCAACGC